UGCCCAACACUCAAAAGGUGCUGGCACUGGACUUGAAGUUUUCAGCAGAUGGGCAAGCAGAUGGGCUUCUGCUCAAGAUGGAUCCGGAGACGGGCACACGCCUAUCCUGCAGCCCUGUAUAUCUU
This is a long non-coding RNA of Lagopus muta (rock ptarmigan), 125 nucleotides long. RefSeq lists it as uncharacterized. The record is from RefSeq and is a predicted model, not a curated record. The transcript is spliced from 3 exons. NCBI's taxonomy places the organism in Eukaryota, Metazoa, Chordata, Aves, Galliformes, Phasianidae.